UACGAAGGGUGCAAACGUUGCUCGGAAUUAUUGGGCGUAAAGCGCAUGUAGGCGGCAGCGCAAGUCGGGCGUGAAAUCCCACGGCUCAACCGUGGAAGUGCACUCGAAACUGCGCAGCUAGAGUCCUGGAGAGGAAGGUGGAAUGCUUGGUGUAGAGGUGAAAUUCGUAGAUAUCAAGCGGAACACCGGUGGCGAAGGCGGCCUUCUGGACAGUGACUGACGCUGAGAUGCGAAAGCGUGGGGAGCAAACAGG
This 253-nucleotide ribosomal RNA is filed under the name uncultured bacterium. Its description in RNAcentral is "partial 16S ribosomal RNA". It matches the Rfam family "Bacterial small subunit ribosomal RNA", at positions 524 to 776 of the family's 1533-position model. The record is from RNAcentral.